AAAAUGCGAUAAGUAAUGUGAAUUGCAGAAUUCAGUGAAUCAUCGAAUCUUUGAACGCACACUGCGCCCGCCAGUAUUCUGGCGGGCAUGCCUGUUCGAGCGUCAUUUCAACCCUCAAGCCCCCGGGUUUGGUGUUGGGGAUCGGGCUGCGGUUCUACCGCGUCCCGGCCCCGAAAUCUAGUGGCGGUCUCGCUGCAGCCUCCAUUGCGUAGUAGCUAACACCUCGCAACUGGAACGCGGCGCGGCCAAGCCGUUAAACCCCCAACUUCUGAAUGUUGACCUCGGAUCAGGUAGGAAUACCCGCUGAACUUAAGC
Molecule: unclassified non-coding RNA, 315 nt
Filed under: plant metagenome
Description: partial contains 5.8S ribosomal RNA, internal transcribed spacer 2, and large subunit ribosomal RNA
Rfam family: 5.8S ribosomal RNA (bases 1-105)
Source: RNAcentral